RNAcentral lists this long non-coding RNA (291 nucleotides) under Salmo salar (Atlantic salmon). RNAcentral's name for it is "lncRNA (ENSSSAG00000089876.1)". Lineage: Eukaryota; Metazoa; Chordata; Actinopteri; Salmoniformes; Salmonidae. The record is from RNAcentral.
UUGCAAAUUUAAGGAAAGUUGGCGGGUACACUGUUCGGAUGCUGGAAUUAUUUUUGGACGAACGUGCGAAGAUAUUGUUUGACAAUCAGAUGAAAGGAAGACUGUUUGUGUUCAUGCCACAUUAAAAGUUGACCCAGUUGACCUCAUUCAUGGAGAUGCUGGCAAAGGAGGCUGUGGACCAAAUCUGCAAGCUAUUCAACGAGUGCUCCUCCGUUCUGCAUCUGGAAGUGUCUCGGAGUCAAACUGAGAAUGAGGACUUGAAGAAGAGGCUAGAUGCGUUUGAGACCAAAC